Molecule: ribosomal RNA, 494 nt
Filed under: uncultured bacterium
Lineage: Bacteria
Description: bacterial SSU rRNA
Rfam family: Bacterial small subunit ribosomal RNA
Source: RNAcentral
UGGCUCAGGACGAACGCUGGCGGCGUGCUUAACACAUGCAAGUCGAACGGAGCUUAGAAGGAAGCUUGCUUUCAUUUAAGCUUAGUGGCGGACGGGUGAGUAACGCGUGAGCAACCUGCCCUCGAGUGGGGAAUAACAUCGAGAAAUCGGUGCUAAUACCGCAUAAAGUCGAGAGACCGCAUGAUCUUUCGACCAAAGGAUUUAUUCGCUUGAGGAUGGGCUCGCGUCCGAUUAGCUAGUUGGUGAGGUAACGGCCCACCAAGGCAACGAUCGGUAGCCGAACUGAGAGGUUGAUCGGCCACAUUGGGACUGAGACACGGCCCAGACUCCUACGGGAGGCAGCAGUGGGGAAUAUUGGGCAAUGGGCGAAAAAGCCUGACCCAGCAACGCCGCGUGAAGGAUGAGGGUCUUCGGAUUGUAAACUUCUUUGAUUGGGGAAGAAUAAAUGACCUACCCAAAGAACAAGCCACGGCUAACUACGUGCCAGCCGCGGC